This 348-nucleotide unclassified non-coding RNA is filed under the name soil metagenome. Its description in RNAcentral is "partial contains 5.8S ribosomal RNA, internal transcribed spacer 2, and large subunit ribosomal RNA". The stretch from base 1 to 120 matches the Rfam family "5.8S ribosomal RNA", at positions 35 to 154 of the family's 154-position model. The record is from RNAcentral.
GAUGAAGAACGUAGCGAAAUGCGAUAAGUAAUGUGAAUUGCAGAAUUCAGUGAAUCAUCGAGUCUUUGAACGCACAUUGCGCCCCCUGGUAUUCCGGGGGGCAUGCCUGUCCGAGCGUCAUUGCUGCCCUCAAGCACGGCUUGUGUGUUGGGCCCCCGCCCCCCGGCUUCGGGGGGCGGGCCCGAAAGGCAGCGGCGGCACCGCGUCCGGUCCUCGAGCGUAUGGGGCUUCGUCACCCGCUCUGUAGGCCCGGCCGGCGCCCGCCGGCGACCCCAAUCAAUCUUUCCAAGUUGACCUCGGAUCAGGUAGGGAUACCCGCUGAACUUAAGCAUAUCAAUAAGCGGAGGA